This 476-nucleotide ribosomal RNA is filed under the name uncultured organism. Its description in RNAcentral is "partial 16S ribosomal RNA". It matches the Rfam family "Bacterial small subunit ribosomal RNA", at positions 332 to 799 of the family's 1533-position model. The record is from RNAcentral.
UACACUCCUGCGGGAGGCAGCAGUGGGGAAUUUUGGACAAUGGGCGAAAGCCUGAUCCAGCAAUGCCGCGUGUGUGAAGAAGGCCUUCGGGUUGUAAAGCACUUUUGUCCGGAAAGAAAUCCUUGGCUCUAAUACAGUCGGGGGAUGACGGUACCGGAAGAAUAAGCACCGGCUAACUACGUGCCAGCAGCCGCGGUAAUACGUAGGGUGCGAGCGUUAAUCGGAAUUACUGGGCGUAAAGCGUGCGCAGGCGGUUUGCUAAGACCGAUGUGAAAUCCCCGGGCUCAACCUGGGAACUGCAUUGGUGACUGGCAGGCUAGAGUAUGGCAGAGGGGGGUAGAAUUCCACGUGUAGCAGUGAAAUGCGUAGAGAUGUGGAGGAAUACCGAUGGCGAAGGCAGCCCCCUGGGCCAAUACUGACGCUCAUGCACGAAAGCGUGGGGAGCAAACAGGAUUAGAAACCCCUGUAGUCCCAUG